RNAcentral lists this ribosomal RNA (425 nucleotides) under uncultured bacterium. Its description in RNAcentral is "partial 16S ribosomal RNA". It matches the Rfam family "Bacterial small subunit ribosomal RNA", at positions 354 to 796 of the family's 1533-position model. The record is from RNAcentral.
GUGGGGAAUCUUAGACAAUGGGGGAAACCCUGAUCUAGCCAUGCCGCGUGAGCGAUGAAGGCCUUAGGGUUGUAAAGCUCUUUCAGCUGGGAAGAUAAUGACGGUACCAGCAGAAGAAGCCCCGGCUAACUCCGUGCCAGCAGCCGCGGUAAUACGGAGGGGGCUAGCGUUGUUCGGAAUUACUGGGCGUAAAGCGCGCGUAGGCGGACCAGAAAGUUGGAGGUGAAAUCCCAGGGCUCAACCUUGGAACUGCCUUCAAAACUCCUGGUCUGGAGUUCGAGAGAGGUGAUUGGAAUUCCGAGUGUAGAGGUGAAAUUCGUAGAUAUUCGGAGGAACACCAGUGGCGAAGGCGGCUCACUGGCUCGAUACUGACGCUGAGGUGCGAAAGCGUGGGGAGCAAACAGGAUUAGAAACCCCAGUAGUCC